RNAcentral lists this long non-coding RNA (380 nucleotides) under Trifolium pratense (red clover). RNAcentral describes it as "long non-coding RNA (TPRA_LNC011285)". The record is from RNAcentral. Lineage: Eukaryota; Viridiplantae; Streptophyta; Magnoliopsida; Fabales; Fabaceae.
UAACACUCUGACUGAACAAGCAGAACGUUUUCAAGGUCUAUAUCAAGAAACUCUGAAUAGAGUAAAUGACUUUGAAAAGGGUUGUGCUGUUUGUCACAAACCUAUUGAUGAGCAGGAAAUAGCUUUUCAACAGUUUGUGCAUCUCAACCUUGGUAAGAGCAAAGAUGCUAAUCUUGUUUAUAAUGUCAUGAGACAUAGAGGAGAGGGACUUGGCUAUGAAUAUGGUAGAACAUAUUCAAAGCUGAAGACCUCUGCCAAAAAGGUUGGAAAAUCUUGGGUUUACUAUGUUGUACCUCAGAGUGAAGAAGGAAAGAAAUUUGGGUCUCUGGAAAAUGAGGAUGAUAAUCUGAGAGAAUUGGGAAAUGACAACUCAGAGGAAC